UCCGGUUUGUCACCGGCAGUCACGCCAGAGUGCUCAGCUUUACCUGCUAGCAACUGGCAUCGAGGGUUGCGCUCGUUGCGGGACUUAACCCAACAUCUCACGACACGAGCUGACGACAGCCAUGCACCACCUGUCUCCUGGCUCCUUGCGGCACCCCCGAGUUUCCUCAGGGUUCCAGGGAUGUCAAGCCUUGGUAAGGUUCUUCGCGUUGCAUCGAAUUAAACCACAUACUCCACCGCUUGUGCGGGCCCCCGUCAAUUCCUUUGAGUUUCAGUCUUGCGACCGUACUCCCCAGGCGGGACACUUAUCGCGUUAGCUUCGGCACCGAGGGGGUCGAUACCCUCGACACCUAGUGUCCAUCGUUUACGGCUCGGACUAC
Molecule: unclassified non-coding RNA, 379 nt
Filed under: uncultured cyanobacterium
Lineage: Bacteria; Bacillati; Cyanobacteriota
Description: contains 16S-23S intergenic spacer region
Source: RNAcentral